This 767-nucleotide long non-coding RNA is filed under the name Fukomys damarensis (Damara mole-rat). Its description in RNAcentral is "lncRNA (ENSFDAG00000028032.1)". Lineage: Eukaryota; Metazoa; Chordata; Mammalia; Rodentia; Bathyergidae. The record is from RNAcentral.
CAGCUGCGCCAGAAAAGGAAACGUUUAUUUUGAGGAACUGGGUUAGGCUUUGGGGAUGUAAUGGUGAGCAAGCAGGCAGUGUUUCUGCUCUUAUGAGAUUGAUGAUGAGCAGACAGAAGGCAAAGCCAUGAGAGAGCAGGAAGACACUGAAAGAAUUUAAGGACAAUGAUAAGACAUGGCAUCCUACCCAGUGUGAUGCUCAGCAAGGAACACAUGAGAGUGCAUGACAGGGGCCAGAAAGACUGUCACCUGGGGUGGCUCUGUCAUCCCCAGACAACAAAGUGAGCACUGUAUCCCUCUCCUGGAGCCAUGCAGUGCACUACCUGCCCAAUGACACAUGAAGUCACAUCUUCCCUGGACUGUCCUUGACCUGUGAAAGACUUUUGCUGAGAACUGCCAGUAGGAGGAGGCAACACUCUCGGUAAAGCAUGUUGCACAUUUAUUUUAGACCAAACCUGGGGAACUUGGAGCACCCUUGGGACCUGCAUCUACUUCAGGAGGAGCGCUGAGAUGUGCACUGACUUCACCCUCAGAGGAGAAAUCCAACAUCAGCCCAGUGGGCCAGAAAAGACUGUGAGGAUUAGAAAGCAGAGGGGGAUUUGCAAAGAGACUCAAGUACUUGUGGCCAACCCACCUUGGCCCUCACACAGAUAGCAUGGGGAUGCUCUGCACUGAAAAUCCUGGUACUCAACUUCCUUAAUAAAGAAAUGCAAACUCAAAUCACAGUAUGCUACAAUAUAUCCACCACAUUGACUAUAAUUAGAAAU